RNAcentral lists this transfer RNA (81 nucleotides) under Streptomyces alanosinicus. RNAcentral describes it as "tRNA-Ala". Lineage: Bacteria; Bacillati; Actinomycetota; Actinomycetes; Kitasatosporales; Streptomycetaceae. The record is from RNAcentral.
GUGUGGCGCUGGCGCGGGGUGUGGUGGUGCGUCGCCUGUUGGCGGUGGCUGAGGCGUCGGGUUCGGUGUCUGCGCUGCAUG